Molecule: ribosomal RNA, 253 nt
Filed under: uncultured bacterium
Lineage: Bacteria
Description: partial 16S ribosomal RNA
Rfam family: Bacterial small subunit ribosomal RNA
Source: RNAcentral
UACAGAGGCCUCGAGCGUUAGGCGGAAUCACUGGGCUUAAAGCGUGUGUAGGCGGAUUGGUAAGUACCUUGUGAAAUCCCACAGCUUAACUGUGGAACUGCUCGGUAUACUGCUGAUCUUGAGCCACUCAGGGGCUACCGGAACAAAUGGUGGAGCGGUGAAAUGCGUAGAUAUCAUUUGGAACGCCAAUGGUGAAAACAGGUAGCUGGGGGUGUGCUGACGCUGAGACACGAAAGCCAGGGGAGCAAGCGGG